RNAcentral lists this ribosomal RNA (166 nucleotides) under uncultured bacterium. RNAcentral describes it as "partial 16S rRNA". It matches the Rfam family "Bacterial small subunit ribosomal RNA", at positions 355 to 511 of the family's 1533-position model. The record is from RNAcentral.
UAGGGAAUCUUCGGCAAUGGGGGGCGAACCCUGACCGAGCAACGCCGCGCGAGUGAAGAAGGUCUUCGGAUCGUAAAACUCUGUUGUUAGAGAAGAACACGAGUGAGAGUAACUGUUCAUUCGAUGACGGUAUCUAACCAGCAAGUCACGGCUAACUACGUGCCAG